CCUAAGCACUGGGAGGUGAGUAGAUUUGGCCACACGAUGCCAUCUGCCUCUCCUCAGGCAUAGACCACUAGAUUCAGCUGAUCUGCAACUGAGAAGCCUGAAACCCUGAGCCACGCAUGGCUUCCUUCACACCUGGAAUUUGCUCCCUGCCUUGUGCCUGCUUGUCCACCACACGUCCAGUCUCUUUACCUAACCCAAACGAAGCACCAGCUUUUCCAAUGGUAGCCACUAUGCCUGAGGGAAUGAAGAAUGAAAGAGAGCUGUGGUCUCUCUUUCCGCCCUAGGCAAACCAGGACAUCGAAACCCAAGUGUGGCAGUGCUGAUGACCGUUCUAUCAGAACUGGAUUUGCUGCCUUGUUGAAGGCGGCAGCACAGACCGAAAACGUUAG
Long non-coding RNA from Myodes glareolus (Bank vole), 389 nucleotides. RefSeq lists it as uncharacterized. The record is from RefSeq and is a predicted model, not a curated record. Lineage: Eukaryota; Metazoa; Chordata; Mammalia; Rodentia; Cricetidae.